This 472-nucleotide unclassified non-coding RNA is filed under the name Hevea brasiliensis (rubber tree). The record is from RNAcentral. Lineage: Eukaryota; Viridiplantae; Streptophyta; Magnoliopsida; Malpighiales; Euphorbiaceae.
GAAUUGAGCUUUGAGUUGCUCAGGUUCGGCCCAUCAAUAUUAUUUAAAACUCAAGCUUGGCUUGUUCAAUAUUUAUUAAAUUCGAACUCAAUUUUAGCUCAGCUCGUUUUAAGGUCAUCUAUAAUAUUAACAAGCCAAGAUCAAACAUAGCUCAUUUAUUCAUGCAUCUUCUUUCUCAACACAAGCAUAAAAAAAUAAAUGAAGUUAGGCUCUACUAAAAGUUGUCCUAGGUUUCGAGUAAGGUUUUAAUUUAACAGUAAUAAAACUGAGUUUAAGCGCACCUAGUUUGUAUUUCAUCUAGUAAAUUAUUUUAAUUUAUUUUACUUAGCCAAAAAAUAAAUUCUAAAAGAAAUAGUUUAGGAAACCUUAUUUAAAAACACUAAGUGAAAGAUAAGUUUCGAAAUAAAAAUAGUUUUAAUUAAAAUGAUUCAAGGGCACCAAGGGGACCCUCCUUAGAACCACUAAAGUAAAA